Molecule: ribosomal RNA, 1530 nt
Filed under: Escherichia coli
Lineage: Bacteria; Pseudomonadati; Pseudomonadota; Gammaproteobacteria; Enterobacterales; Enterobacteriaceae
Description: bacterial SSU rRNA
Rfam family: Bacterial small subunit ribosomal RNA
Source: RNAcentral
AGAGUUUGAUCAUGGCUCAGAUUGAACGCUGGCGGCAGGCCUAACACAUGCAAGUCGAACGGUAACAGGAAACAGCUUGCUGUUUCGCUGACGAGUGGCGGACGGGUGAGUAAUGUCUGGGAAACUGCCUGAUGGAGGGGGAUAACUACUGGAAACGGUAGCUAAUACCGCAUAACGUCGCAAGACCAAAGAGGGGGACCUUCGGGCCUCUUGCCAUCGGAUGUGCCCAGAUGGGAUUAGCUUGUUGGUGGGGUAACGGCUCACCAAGGCGACGAUCCCUAGCUGGUCUGAGAGGAUGACCAGCCACACUGGAACUGAGACACGGUCCAGACUCCUACGGGAGGCAGCAGUGGGGAAUAUUGCACAAUGGGCGCAAGCCUGAUGCAGCCAUGCCGCGUGUAUGAAGAAGGCCUUCGGGUUGUAAAGUACUUUCAGCGGGGAGGAAGGGAGUAAAGUUAAUACCUUUGCUCAUUGACGUUACCCGCAGAAGAAGCACCGGCUAACUCCGUGCCAGCAGCCGCGGUAAUACGGAGGGUGCAAGCGUUAAUCGGAAUUACUGGGCGUAAAGCGCACGCAGGCGGUUUGUUAAGUCAGAUGUGAAAUCCCCGGGCUCAACCUGGGAACUGCAUCUGAUACUGGCAAGCUUGAGUCUCGUAGAGGGGGGGAGAAUUCCAGGUGUAGCGGUGAAAUGCGUAGAGAUCUGGAGGAAUACCGGUGGCGAAGGCGGCCCCCUGGACGAAGACUGACGCUCAGGUGCGAAAGCGUGGGGAGCAAACAGGAUUAGAUACCCUGGUAGUCCACGCCGUAAACGAUGUCGACUUGGAGGUUGUGCCCUUGAGGCGUGGCUUCCGGAGCUAACGCGUUAAGUCGACCGCCUGGGGAGUACGGCCGCAAGGUUAAAACUCAAAUGAAUUGACGGGGGCCCGCACAAGCGGUGGAGCAUGUGGUUUAAUUCGAUGCAACGCGAAGAACCUUACCUGGUCUUGACAUCCACGGAAGUUUUCAGAGAUGAGAAUGUGCCUUCGGGAACCGUGAGACAGGUGCUGCAUGGCUGUCGUCAGCUCGUGUUGUGAAAUGUUGGGUUAAGUCCCGCAACGAGCGCAACCCUUAUCCUUUGUUGCCAGCGGUCCGGCCGGGAACUCAAAGGAGACUGCCAGUGAUAAACUGGAGGAAGGUGGGGAUGACGUCAAGUCAUCAUGGCCCUUACGACCAGGGCUACACACGUGCUACAAUGGCGCAUACAAAGAGAAGCGACCUCGCGAGAGCAAGCGGACCUCAUAAAGUGCGUCGUAGUCCGGAUUGGAGUCUGCAACUCGACUCCAUGAAGUCGGAAUCGCUAGUAAUCGUGGAUCAGAAUGCCACGGUGAAUACGUUCCCGGGCCUUGUACACACCGCCCGUCACACCAUGGGAGUGGGUUGCAAAAGAAGUAGGUAGCUUAACCUUCGGGAGGGCGCUUACCACUUUGUGAUUCAUGACUGGGGUGAAGUCGUAACAAGGUAACCGUAGGGGAACCUGCGGUUGGAUCACCU